RNAcentral lists this long non-coding RNA (730 nucleotides) under Equus caballus (horse). RNAcentral's name for it is "lncRNA (ENSECAG00000027904.3)". Lineage: Eukaryota; Metazoa; Chordata; Mammalia; Perissodactyla; Equidae. The record is from RNAcentral.
CGACAAUGCCUUGAAAAUCAAAGACAUUCAAUAAAUUUUGAUCUAAUAUCCCCAGUUCCCAGUAUCUGCCAUGGGAGAUUUGUGCAGUGGAAACUUUCAAGCACAAGAUACCAUAUGCUGGUAGAGAGGAAUCUGUGCAAUACCACAGGCAUUGGAGACACAGUACCGGAAACAAGCUUGAAGAAUUUCCAACCCAUUGCUAACUUACUCUUCAAGUGAAUGUGUGUAGUGAGCCCAGCAGUACGUUUCAGCCCCAAUGUCUUCUGUCCCCUAGUGGAACUGGAAACAUCAGCUUUGUAUUAAGACAUGUUACAUGGUCUACAAAACUGACUUGGAACGAGGCAACAUCACUUGGGAUUCUGUUUUGGGAACAAAAGUGAGAAGGUCAAAAGAAAAAGCUAGACUCUGGCAGAUCUACAAAGAAAGUUGACUGAGGGGAGUUACAGUCCAGGACAGCACAGGAUAUCAGGAUAUCAUCAACUACCAGAUUCAGAAGGAGAAAAUUCUUGGUGUUGGACCUCAAGUACCUCAGAGCAAAAUCAGAGAAAAAUCAAAAAUAGCAAAAGAGUUAAGUAGUAAAACCUUAUAUAAAGUUUUCAAAUAUCUGUCAACUCAAAAGAAUAUAUGUCCCUCCCUAAUAAACAGAUAUGUGUGGAGAAUGUCCUGAAGAAAGCUUGAAUAACAGCCCUAUUUUUACAAAUUAUUUGUGUAUGUGUGUGUUUAUUCUUUU